RNAcentral lists this small nucleolar RNA (287 nucleotides) under Dasypus novemcinctus (nine-banded armadillo). The record is from RNAcentral. Lineage: Eukaryota; Metazoa; Chordata; Mammalia; Cingulata; Dasypodidae.
UGAGUUGUUUGACCUAAAGUAACAUUUUGGUCUCUUAGGAUUUGUUAUAGUUAUCUACUUCCAUCCCCUCCAAAUAUGAACAUCUAUUCAAAAAUAAAGCUAUUGGGAUCUGAAAUCUUAGUAGGGGUCCUGAGACCUGGGUCCCCACUCUAAGGCCAGAUCUAUAGCAGGCCUUGCCUCCAUUGCUGCUGCUGUCUCAGUUCUUGGCAGUGCCUGCUGGGGGACCUACAGGUGGCAACCAAAGUAGGGCUAGGCAUAGGCUUCUGAGCACAACCUUGGAUCUGACA